CUAGGGGUACGCAACUGGCGAUAGGAGCCUGGUGUUGGCAUUCAAUGCCCCCAGCCUCUGACGUGGAUACGAAAGGGCUUUGCCCCUCUUAAAACCACUGGGGAGCGUGCACCUUGCGCAGGUGUUGUGGCACAAGGUUUCAGCCGUUCGCCUGGGCAGCCCAU
Molecule: non-coding RNA, 164 nt
Filed under: Limnohabitans sp. 103DPR2
Lineage: Bacteria; Pseudomonadati; Pseudomonadota; Betaproteobacteria; Burkholderiales; Comamonadaceae
Also listed under: 1 other name
Description: ZMP/ZTP riboswitch aptamer (pfl RNA motif)
Rfam family: ZMP/ZTP riboswitch aptamer (pfl RNA motif)
About the family: Previously known as pfl RNA. ZMP is also known as AICAR.
Source: Rfam by way of RNAcentral